Molecule: ribosomal RNA, 482 nt
Filed under: uncultured Roseateles sp.
Lineage: Bacteria; Pseudomonadati; Pseudomonadota; Betaproteobacteria; Burkholderiales; Sphaerotilaceae
Description: bacterial SSU rRNA
Rfam family: Bacterial small subunit ribosomal RNA
Source: RNAcentral
AACCUUACCUACCCUUGACAUGUCUGGAAUCCUGAAGAGAUUUGGGAGUGCUCGAAAGAGAGCCAGAACACAGGUGCUGCAUGGCCGUCGUCAGCUCGUGUCGUGAGAUGUUGGGUUAAGUCCCGCAACGAGCGCAACCCUUGUCAUUAGUUGCUACGAAAGGGCACUCUAAUGAGACUGCCGGUGACAAACCGGAGGAAGGUGGGGAUGACGUCAGGUCAUCAUGGCCCUUAUGGGUAGGGCUACACACGUCAUACAAUGGCCGGGACAGAGGGCUGCCAACCCGCGAGGGGGAGCUAAUCCCAGAAACCCGGUCGUAGUCCGGAUCGUAGUCUGCAACUCGACUGCGUGAAGUCGGAAUCGCUAGUAAUCGCGGAUCAGCUUGCCGCGGUGAAUACGUUCCCGGGUCUUGUACACACCGCCCGUCACACCAUGGGAGCGGGUUCUGCCAGAAGUAGUUAGCCUAACCGCAAGGGGGGCGA